RNAcentral lists this ribosomal RNA (459 nucleotides) under uncultured bacterium. Its description in RNAcentral is "partial 16S ribosomal RNA". It matches the Rfam family "Bacterial small subunit ribosomal RNA", at positions 338 to 795 of the family's 1533-position model. The record is from RNAcentral.
CCUACGGGAGGCAGCAGUGAGGAAUAUUGGUCAAUGGCCACAGGGCUGAACCAGCCAAGUCGCGUGAGGGAUGACGGUCCUAUGGAUUGUAAACCUCUUUUGUCAGGGAGCAAAGGGCGCCACGUGUGGCGCUUUGCGAGUACCGGAAGAAAAAGCAUCGGCUAACUCCGUGCCAGCAGCCGCGGUAAUACGGAGGAUGCGAGCGUUAUCCGGAUUUAUUGGGUUUAAAGGGUGCGCAGGCGGAAUGUCAAGUCAGCGGUAAAAUUUCGGGGCUCAACCCCGUCGUGCCGUGGAAACUGGCGUUCUUGAGUGAGCGAGAAGUAUGCGGAAUGCGUGGUGUAGCGGUGAAAUGCAUAGAUAUCACGCAGAACUCCGAUUGCGAAGGCAGCAUACCGGCGCUCAACUGACGCUCAUGCACGAAAGCGUGGGUAUCGAACAGGAUUAGAUACCCUAGUAGUC